Ictidomys tridecemlineatus (thirteen-lined ground squirrel) is the source of this 73-nucleotide non-coding RNA. The record is from Rfam. Lineage: Eukaryota; Metazoa; Chordata; Mammalia; Rodentia; Sciuridae.
GGGGAUAUAGCUCAGUUGGUAGAGUGCUUGCCUUGCAGGUACAAGGCCCUGGGUUCAAUCCCCAGCAUCACAU